UCUUAGUUUUUGAUCAUGCUUCAGUAGUGGUGAUCACAUAUCUAGCCUCUUAAUUAAUGUGAUAAAGUUUGACCAUUCUUGAAAAUUUCCCUGCAUAUAGUUAUCAAUAUAAUUGAGAAAUCUUCUGUAAUUUGAGCACAUCAUGUGCUUGAAAGUUUCCGAGAAUUGACAGGGCAAGAGAUUUUCACCUAUUUUCUACAAUGUAGUGUACUUGCAUUCCUCUUAUGUCUUUUGCCAUGGAGUUUGACUUCCUGGUUCCUUUCGUGUAGGGUCUGAAUAUGUUUGGGUUGCAUUGUGCAAAAGGUCAGACCCACAGCAGUCACUGCCAUUUAGGACCUCGUCGACAUUGACGAACUCAUAGCUGCAAGAAGGACUGCAGUGGAUGCGUGACCGCCUGUCCUAGAAGUUCCAAGUGAUGUCGAGGCGUUGCCAUCCUGCUGCUAAGCUCUGGACGACUAGGACUUCAUCCAACAACACCGGUAUCACCGUCAAGUCCGGCGGGGUUGACGUAAUCUCCAGCCCUAGUGAUUUGGGGUAUGGUGGCGCCGCCGUGAAAAGGAGGUCAGAAUUCUGCUAGCCUCCUUUGACGACAAAGACAAGCUGUUUCUGAUGAUCGACCCCCCUGCCGCGGCAUGGCAGUGACUACGACAUCACAUCCUCUAGGACCCGUCCGUUUCUUUUUUGCUGAUCAUGCGACUUGUGUGCGUCUGUGUGGCACAAAACCUAGCUUAGGGCAAUGGCUUGAAGAAGUAUGUCAUUGAUCUUGGAGGAACCAACUUCAGACUCAUGAAGGUUCAAGUUGCUCACCAGGUUGGAGGAACCGAGGUUUUUUUUUUGCUGGAGACAUGGU
Long non-coding RNA from Lolium rigidum, 850 nucleotides. RefSeq lists it as uncharacterized. The transcript is spliced from 4 exons. The record is from RefSeq and is a predicted model, not a curated record. NCBI's taxonomy places the organism in Eukaryota, Viridiplantae, Streptophyta, Magnoliopsida, Poales, Poaceae.